AUUGAACGCUGGCGGCAGGCCUAACACAUGCAAGUCGAGCGGAUGAAGGGAGCUUGCUCCUGGAUUCAGCGGCGGACGGGUGAGUAAUGCCUAGGAAUCUGCCUGGUAGUGGGGGAUAACGUCCGGAAACGGGCGCUAAUACCGCAUACGUCCUGAGGGAGAAAGUGGGGGAUCUUCGGACCUCACGCUAUCAGAUGAGCCUAGGUCGGAUUAGCUAGUUGGUGGGGUAAAGGCCUACCAAGGCGACGAUCCGUAACUGGUCUGAGAGGAUGAUCAGUCACACUGGAACUGAGACACGGUCCAGACUCCUACGGGAGGCAGCAGUGGGGAAUAUUGGACAAUGGGCGAAAGCCUUAUCCAGCCAUGCCGCGUGUGUGAAGAAGGUCUUCGGAUUGUAAAGCACUUUAAGUUGGGAGGAAGGGCAGUAAGUUAAUACCUUGCUGUUUUGACGUUACCAACAGAAUAAGCACCGGCUAACUUCGU
This 483-nucleotide ribosomal RNA is filed under the name uncultured bacterium. RNAcentral's name for it is "partial 16S ribosomal RNA". It matches the Rfam family "Bacterial small subunit ribosomal RNA", at positions 30 to 506 of the family's 1533-position model. The record is from RNAcentral.